Molecule: non-coding RNA, 663 nt
Organism: Oncorhynchus mykiss (rainbow trout)
Lineage: Eukaryota; Metazoa; Chordata; Actinopteri; Salmoniformes; Salmonidae
Source: RefSeq, a predicted model, not a curated record
CUGGACCAGGGUGAAGAGAUGGACUCUCCUCAGAGGAACGUGACGCAGGAAGGAGAAGUCUGGCUGGUGCUUGGCUGGCAUCAGAUACAGCUUGAUACGCUCCCAGAACUAGGAGGGAGAGAGGAGGAACUGGGGCUGCUCUCCUGGGGCGCUGGACUCACUCUCCAUCUUCAGAGAGUCGAUGUGGGCGAUGGAGAUGACAGUUGCAGCCACGUACCAGGGCAGGCCCAGGAAGGAACACACUGCCAUCAGAAUACCCACCCAGAACAGGUCCAGAUGCCACGAACAGAGUGUGAUGGAGAGGAUUCGCCGACGGGCUACGCUCCCUUGGGAGAGACAAGCCUAAGUAAGUAAGUGUGUUCAUGGUUGCAGUUGUGUUGUGUUGUCAUUGUGGCCACACUGUACCUUGAGUUUGUUCUCUUUGCGGUUGACGAUGACGGCGCUGAUCUGUUGGUCCAUGAAGAUGAGGAUGGUGACCAGGAGAGCAGGGACGGCGCUGGCCACAUACACCCACCACGGGUUCUUACCAAACGGCAUCACCACCCAGCCACGGAAGAAGGAAGAGAUCGAGAAGGAGAGAACGAGCGGAAGAGAGGGUGUGACAGAGCAAGAGAUGAGGGGAGGAGAGGAACCUUGACUUCAGUGGGCACGUGCAGUUUGGGC